Molecule: non-coding RNA, 91 nt
Organism: Canis lupus familiaris (dog)
Lineage: Eukaryota; Metazoa; Chordata; Mammalia; Carnivora; Canidae
Source: Rfam
GGCGGGAGGCCGGAUCCUGGGCUGUGUCCUGGCGCCCUGUGCUCCGGAGCCUGCGCUGUUGGAUUCGCGCUCCCGGGCCGCGCAAUCCCCU